Molecule: transfer RNA, 77 nt
Organism: Glarea lozoyensis 74030
Lineage: Eukaryota; Fungi; Ascomycota; Leotiomycetes; Helotiales; Helotiaceae
Rfam family: tRNA
About the family: Transfer RNA (tRNA) molecules are approximately 80 nucleotides in length.
Source: Rfam
GCCCUCGUAGCUCAAUGGUAGAGCGCGUCACUAGUAAUGAGAUGACGAGGUCGCCAGUUCAAUUCUGGUCGAGGGCU